RNAcentral lists this ribosomal RNA (1442 nucleotides) under uncultured organism. Its description in RNAcentral is "SSU rRNA". It matches the Rfam family "Bacterial small subunit ribosomal RNA". The record is from RNAcentral.
CUACAGGCUUAACACAUGCAAGUCGAGGGGCAGCAUGGUCUUAGCUUGCUAAGGCCGAUGGCGACCGGCGCACGGGUGAGUAACACGUAUCCAACCUGCCGUCUACUCUUGGACAGCCUUCUGAAAGGAAGAUUAAUACAAGAUGGCAUCAUGAGUCCGCAUGUUCACAUGAUUAAAGGUAUUCCGGUAGACGAUGGGGAUGCGUUCCAUUAGAUAGUAGGCGGGGUAACGGCCCACCUAGUCUUCGAUGGAUAGGGGUUCUGAGAGGAAGGUCCCCCACAUUGGAACUGAGACACGGUCCAAACUCCUACGGGAGGCAGCAGUGAGGAAUAUUGGUCAAUGGGCGCAGGCCUGAACCAGCCAAGUAGCGUGAAGGAUGACUGCCCUAUGGGUUGUAAACUUCUUUUAUAAAGGAAUAAAGUCGGGUAUGGAUACCCGUUUGCAUGUACUUUAUGAAUAAGGAUCGGCUAACUCCGUGCCAGCAGCCGCGGUAAUACGGAGGAUCCGAGCGUUAUCCGGAUUUAUUGGGUUUAAAGGGAGCGUAGAUGGAUGUUUAAGUCAGUUGUGAAAGUUUGCAGCUCAACCGUAAAAUUGCAGUUGAUACUGGAUAUCUUGAGUGCAGUUGAGGCAGGCGGAAUUCGUGGUGUAGCGGUGAAAUGCUUAGAUAUCACGAAGAACUCCGAUUGCGAAGGCAGCCUGCUAAGCUGCAACUGACAUUGAGGCUCGAAAGUGUGGGUAUCAAACAGGAUUAGAUACCCUGGUAGUCCACACGGUAAACGAUGAAUACUCGCUGUUUGCGAUAUACAGCAAGCGGCCAAGCGAAAGCGUUAAGUAUUCCACCUGGGGAGUACGCCGGCAACGGUGAAACUCAAAGGAAUUGACGGGGGCCCGCACAAGCGGAGGAACAUGUGGUUUAAUUCGAUGAUACGCGAGGAACCUUACCCGGGCUUAAAUUGCAGAUGAAUUACGGUGAAAGCCGUAAGCCGCAAGGCAUCUGUGAAGGUGCUGCAUGGUUGUCGUCAGCUCGUGCCGUGAGGUGUCGGCUUAAGUGCCAUAACGAGCGCAACCCUUGUUGUCAGUUACUAACAGGUUCCGCUGGGGACUCUGACAAGACUGCCAUCGUAAGAUGUGAGGAAGGUGGGGAUGACGUCAAAUCAGCACGGCCCUUACGUCCGGGGCUACACACGUGUUACAAUGGGGGGUACAGAGGGCCGCUACCACGCGAGUGGAUGCCAAUCCCCAAAACCUCUCUCAGUUCGGACUGGAGUCUGCAACCCGACUCCACGAAGCUGGAUUCGCUAGUAAUCGCGCAUCAGCCACGGCGCGGUGAAUACGUUCCCGGGCCUUGUACACACCGCCCGUCAAGCCAUGGGAGCCGGGGGUACCUGAAGUGCGUAACCGCGAGGAGCGCCCUAGGGUAAAACUGGUGACUGGGGCUAAAU